RNAcentral lists this ribosomal RNA (422 nucleotides) under uncultured prokaryote. RNAcentral describes it as "bacterial SSU rRNA". It matches the Rfam family "Bacterial small subunit ribosomal RNA", at positions 358 to 796 of the family's 1533-position model. The record is from RNAcentral.
GGAAUCUUGCGCAAUGGGCGAAAGCCUGACGCAGCGACGCCGCGUGGGGGAUGAAGGCCUUCGGGUUGUAAACCCCUUUCAGGAGGGAAGAAAUUGACGGUACCUCCAAAAGAAGGACCGGCCAACUACGUGCCAGCAGCCGCGGUAAUACGUAGGGUCCUAGCGUUAUCCGGAAUCAUUGGGCGUAAAGAGCUCGUAGGCGGUUCAGCAAGUCGGCUGUGAAAGUCCGAGGCUCAACCUCGGAAUUGCAGUCGAUACUGCUGUGACUCGAAUUCGGUAGAGGAGAAUGGAAUUCCACGUGUAGCGGUGAAAUGCGCAGAUAUGUGGAGGAACACCGGUGGUGAAGACGGCUCUCUGGACCGGUACUGACGCUGAGGCUCGAAAGCGUGGGGAGCAAACAGGAUUAGAUACCCCCGUAGUCC